GACACAGGACAGUCAAGAUGGCUCCAGUUCAACUUUUAGGGCUUUUGCUGCUCUGCCUCCCAGCCAUGAGAUGUGACAUCCAGAUGACCCAGUCUCCUUCACUCCUGUCUGCAUCUGUGGGAGACAGAGUCACUCUCAACUGCAAAGCAAGUCAGAAUAUUAAUAAGAACUUAGACUGGUAUCAGCAAAAGCUUGGAGAAGCUCCCAAACUCCUGAUAUAUUAUACAAACAGUUUGCAAACGGGCAUCCCAUCAAGGUUCAGUGGCAGUGGAUCUGGUACAGAUUACACACUCACCAUCAGCAGCCUGCAGCCUGAAGAUGUUGCCACAUAUUUCUGCUUUCAGUAUAACAGUGGGCCCCACAGUGAUACAAACCAUAACAUAAACCACCCAGAGAUGCAGAUGUAUGAGACAGAAUCUGGAAACAAUCGAGAUGUCACUCAACCAGAGAAUGGAUACAGAAACUACUGUUCAUUUAUGCAACGGAAUAUUAACCAGAAAAAUAUGCAUUACUAUUCUAUUCCAAGAUCCCUGCAGAUGCUCAUUCAGGAUGAGUUAUUGAAUGUCGCUGUUCUCAGACUUGUCAAAGUGGUCCUGAUUUGCAUGUGCCCUAGUCCCGUCCUGAGCCAUGAGGACUUCUUCACAGGUGAGUGUGAUAAUUAUGCUUUGUAG
Molecule: non-coding RNA, 671 nt
Organism: Rattus rattus (black rat)
Lineage: Eukaryota; Metazoa; Chordata; Mammalia; Rodentia; Muridae
Source: the annotation of a RefSeq genome assembly